This is a long non-coding RNA of Podarcis raffonei (Aeolian wall lizard), 329 nucleotides long. RefSeq lists it as uncharacterized. Lineage: Eukaryota; Metazoa; Chordata; Lepidosauria; Squamata; Lacertidae. The record is from RefSeq and is a predicted model, not a curated record. The transcript has 3 exons.
AGAAUUCUGGAAUCCAACUGGCUGCCCUGCUGUGGAGGACAAGUCCCUCUUGAAAGGACUCAGCUGUACUCUUUCUGAAAGCUAGAACAGUCUCUGCCAUGUCUCAGUUCUCCAAAGCAGAUAUGUUUUCAAAAGAUGCUCUAGAAGCCAGUCUAGCAACAGGAAAACCGAUUUACAGUUCAACCAUAGGCAAGUACACUAAGGAGGAAGUCCUACUGAUUUUCAUUAGACUUGCUCCCAGGUUACGGCAAUGUUUUAGAGCGAUGGCGGAAGAAAGGGAUACUUCAGAUGAGACUGCGAGACCGUUGGUCACCUAAAGAACAAGGAUA